This 472-nucleotide ribosomal RNA is filed under the name uncultured organism. Its description in RNAcentral is "bacterial SSU rRNA". It matches the Rfam family "Bacterial small subunit ribosomal RNA", at positions 28 to 507 of the family's 1533-position model. The record is from RNAcentral.
GAUGAACGCUAGCGGCAGGCUUAAUACAUGCAAGUCAAACGGGUGUAGCAAUACAUCAGUGGCGCACGGGUGCGUAACGCGUACACAACAUACCUUAUACAGGGGGAUAACUUUUCGAAAGAGAAGCUAAUACCGCAUAACAUUAUUAGAUGGCAUCAUUUGAUAAUUAAAGCUCCGGCGGUAUAAGAUUGGUGUGCGUACUAUUAGCUAGUUGGUAAGGUAACGGCUUACCAAGGCUACGAUAGUUAGGGGACGUGAGAGCGUGGUCCCCCACACUGGCACUGAGACACGGGCCAGACUCCUACGGGAGGCAGCAGUAAGGAAUAUUGGUCAAUGGUGGCAACACUGAACCAGCCAUGCCGCGUGAAGGAUGAAGGCGCUCUGCGUUGUAAACUUCUUUUAAGUGGGAAGAAAAACUCAUAUUCAUAUGAGCCUGACGGUACCACUGGAAUAAGCACCGGCUAACUCCGUG